GUGUCAGCAGCCGCGGUAAUACAGAGGUCCCGAGCGUUGUUCGGAUUCACUGGGCGUAAAGGGUGCGUAGGUGGCAUGGUAAGUUUGAUGUGAAAGCUCAGGGCUUAACCCUGAAAUGGCAUUGAAUACUACUGUGCUGGAGGUUUGGAGGGGGGACUGGAAUUCUUGGUGUAGCAGUGAAAUGCGUAGAUAUCAAGAGGAACACCAGUGGCGAAGGCGAGUCCCUGGACAACACCUGACACUGAGGCACGAAAGCUAGGGGAGCAAACAGGAUUAGAUACCCCCGUAGUCC
RNAcentral lists this ribosomal RNA (292 nucleotides) under uncultured bacterium. RNAcentral's name for it is "partial 16S ribosomal RNA". It matches the Rfam family "Bacterial small subunit ribosomal RNA", at positions 505 to 796 of the family's 1533-position model. The record is from RNAcentral.